AUUGAACGCUGGCGGCAUGCUUUACACAUGCAAGUCGAACGGCAGCGCGGGCUUCGGCCUGGCGGCGAGUGGCGAACGGGUGAGUAAUACAUCGGAACGUGCCCAGUAGUGGGGGAUAGCUCGGCGAAAGCCGGACUAAUACCGCAUACGACCUGAGGGUGAAAGCGGGGGAUCUUCGGACCUCGCGCUAUUGGAGCGGCCGAUGGCAGAUUAGCUAGUUGGUGGGGUAAAGGCCUACCAAGGCGACGAUCUGUAGCUGGUCUGAGAGGACGACCAGCCACACUGGGACUGAGACACGGCCCAGACUCCUACGGGAGGCAGCAGUGGGGAAUUUUGGACAAUGGGCGAAAGCCUGAUCCAGCAAUGCCGCGUGUGUGAUGAAGGCCUUCGGGUUGUAAAGCACUUUUGGCGGGAACGAAAAGGACUGUGCCAAUACCACGGUUCGAUGACGGUACCCGCAGAAUAAGCACCGGCUAACUACGUG
Molecule: ribosomal RNA, 484 nt
Filed under: uncultured bacterium
Lineage: Bacteria
Description: partial 16S ribosomal RNA
Rfam family: Bacterial small subunit ribosomal RNA
Source: RNAcentral